This 768-nucleotide ribosomal RNA is filed under the name uncultured Exiguobacterium sp. RNAcentral describes it as "bacterial SSU rRNA". It matches the Rfam family "Bacterial small subunit ribosomal RNA", at positions 49 to 789 of the family's 1533-position model. The record is from RNAcentral. Lineage: Bacteria; Bacillati; Bacillota; Bacilli; Caryophanales.
CUAUACAUGCAGUCGAGCGCAGGAAGCCGUCUGAACCCUUCGGGGGGACGACGGUGGAAUGAGCGGCGGACGGGUGAGUAACACGUAAAGAACCUGCCCAUAGGUCUGGGAUAACCACGAGAAAUCGGGGCUAAUACCGGAUGUGUCAUCGGACCGCAUGGUCCGCUGAUGAAAGGCGCUUCGGCGUCGCCCAUGGAUGGCUUUGCGGUGCAUUAGCUAGUUGGUGAGGUAACGGCCCACCAAGGCGACGAUGCAUAGCCGACCUGAGAGGGUGAUCGGCCACACUGGGACUGAGACACGGCCCAGACUCCUACGGGAGGCAGCAGUAGGGAAUCUUCCACAAUGGACGAAAGUCUGAUGGAGCAACGCCGCGUGAACGAUGAAGGCUUUCGGGUCGUAAAGUUCUGUUGUAAGGGAAGAACAAGUGCCGCAGGCAAUGGCGGCACCUUGACGGUACCUUGCGAGAAAGCCACGGCUAACUACGUGCCAGCAGCCGCGGUAAUACGUAGGUGGCAAGCGUUGUCCGGAAUUAUUGGGCGUAAAGCGCGCGCAGGCGGCCUCUUAAGUCUGAUGUGAAAGCCCCCGGCUCAACCGGGGAGGGCCAUUGGAAACUGGGAGGCUUGAGUAUAGGAGAGAAGAGUGGAAUUCCACGUGUAGCGGUGAAAUGCGUAGAGAUGUGGAGGAACACCAGUGGCGAAGGCGACUCUUUGGCCUAUAACUGACGCUGAGGCGCGAAAGCGUGGGGAGCAAACAGGAUUAGAUACCCUG